AUACGUAGGUGGCAAGCGUUGUCCGGAUUUAUUGGGCGUAAAGCGAGCGCAGGCGGUUUCUUAAGUCUGAUGUGAAAGCCUUCGGCUUAACCGAAGAAGUGCAUUAGAAACUGGGAAACUUGAGUGCAGAAGAGGACAGUGGAACUCCAUGUGUAGCGGUGAAAUGCGUAGAUAUAUGGAAGAACACCAGUGGCGAAGGCGGCUUUCUGGACUGUAACUGACACUGAGGCACGAAAGCGUGGGGAGC
Molecule: ribosomal RNA, 247 nt
Filed under: uncultured bacterium
Lineage: Bacteria
Description: partial 16S ribosomal RNA
Rfam family: Bacterial small subunit ribosomal RNA
Source: RNAcentral